UGGUAGCUCAGUCGGGUAAGCGCCCGCUUCUCACGCCAGAGAUGCGGGUUCGAAUCCCGGCGCGGACAU
RNAcentral lists this transfer RNA (69 nucleotides) under Plutella xylostella (diamondback moth). RNAcentral describes it as "tRNA-Glu". The record is from RNAcentral. Lineage: Eukaryota; Metazoa; Arthropoda; Insecta; Lepidoptera; Plutellidae.